This 226-nucleotide long non-coding RNA is filed under the name Mytilus galloprovincialis (Mediterranean mussel). The record is from RNAcentral. Lineage: Eukaryota; Metazoa; Mollusca; Bivalvia; Mytilida; Mytilidae.
GCAUGUAGUUAGACAAUGGGCGUUAAUGACUCAUUCAAACAUCAAUACUACAAUCUUUGCAGUUUUACUCCUGUUCAUAUUGAUUAUAAACAUAGAAAAAACGUUAUAGAAAAAUAACUGACCCACUGACAUUUACUUUGGUGAAAUUGCUACCCGUUGAUAUAUAAUUUGACAAUGAAAAAGAGACCCAUUCCUGUGGCACGUCUAUGUAUUCUUUAUAAAGAAG